GCCGUAAUAGUAUAGUGGUUAGUACUCCUCGUUGUGGCUUCCAAGCUCAUUCGAACUUGGGUCAUAUGGGACCGAGGUGACCCAUGUUCGAUUCAUGGUUGCGGCA
Molecule: non-coding RNA, 106 nt
Organism: Rhypophila decipiens
Lineage: Eukaryota; Fungi; Ascomycota; Sordariomycetes; Sordariales; Naviculisporaceae
Source: the annotation of a GenBank genome assembly